GCGGACGUGGUGAAAUGGCAGACACGCUGUCUUCAGGCGGCAGUGGGGCGACCCGUGUGCGUUCGAAUCGCAUCGUCCGCACCA
Molecule: transfer RNA, 84 nt
Filed under: Ileibacterium valens
Lineage: Bacteria; Bacillati; Bacillota; Erysipelotrichia; Erysipelotrichales; Erysipelotrichaceae
Also listed under: 4 other names
Description: tRNA-Leu
Source: RNAcentral